This 442-nucleotide ribosomal RNA is filed under the name Bacillus sp. ss-6. RNAcentral's name for it is "bacterial SSU rRNA". It matches the Rfam family "Bacterial small subunit ribosomal RNA", at positions 432 to 865 of the family's 1533-position model. Lineage: Bacteria; Bacillati; Bacillota; Bacilli; Caryophanales; Bacillaceae. The record is from RNAcentral.
UCUGUUGUCAGGGAAGAAACAAGUACCGGAGUAACUGCCGGUACCUUGACGGUACCUGACCAGAAAGCCACGGCUAACUACGUGCCAGCAGCCGCGGUAAUACGUAGGUGGCAAGCGUUGUCCGGAAUUAUUGGGCGUAAAGCGCGCGCAGGCGGUUCCUUAAGUCUGAUGUGAAAGCCCCCGGCUCAACCGGGGAGGGUCAUUGGAAACUGGGGAACUUGAGUGCAGAAGAGGAGAGCGGAAUUCCACGUGUAGCGGUGAAAUGCGUAGAGAUGUGGAGGAACACCAGUGGCGAAGGCGGCUCUCUGGUCUGUAACUGACGCUGAGGCGCGAAAGCGUGGGGAGCGAACAGGAUUAGAUACCCUGGUAGUCCACGCCGUAAACGAUGAGUGCUAAGUGUUAGAGGGUUUCCGCCCUUUAGUGCUGCAGCAAACGCAUAAGC